RNAcentral lists this ribosomal RNA (464 nucleotides) under uncultured bacterium. Its description in RNAcentral is "bacterial SSU rRNA". It matches the Rfam family "Bacterial small subunit ribosomal RNA", at positions 28 to 507 of the family's 1533-position model. The record is from RNAcentral.
GACGAACGCUGGCGGCGUGCCUAACACUUGCAAGUCGAGCGAGGAGAGUUCCUUCGGGAACAAACCUAGCGGCGGACGGGUGAGUAACACGUGGGCAACCUGCCUUGUAGAGGGGAAUAGCCUUCCGAAAGGAAGAUUAAUACCGCAUAACAUUACAGUUUCGCAUGAAACAGUAAUUAAAGGAGUAAUCCGCUACAAGAUGGGCCCGCGGCGCAUUAGCUAGUUGGUGAGGUAACGGCUCACCAAGGCGACGAUGCGUAGCCGACCUGAGAGGGUGAUCGGCCACAUUGGGACUGAGACACGGCCCAGACUCCUACGGGAGGCAGCAGUGGGGAAUAUUGCACAAUGGGGGAAACCCUGAUGCAGCAACGCCGCGUGAGUGAUGAAGGUUUUCGGAUCGUAAAGCUCUGUCUUCGGGGACGAUAAUGACGGUACCCGAGGAGGAAGCCACGGCUAACUACGUG